CACUGCACUUCCUCUAAGCGAACUGGUUCUGGAGCCCUAAAAUGCUACAGUACUUCCGAUUGCUCUGCCUAUACCUGUCCCCUUGGUAGAUCAUCUUUGGGCAUACAUCCUCCCUGCUGCCGUCGCAGCGUAAUCCGCCCCGCCCCUCCCCUCUUUGUAGUUCUAAUCUCACUGUCUCUUACGUGCUUCUCAAUUCUUAUCAUGAUCAACACAGAUGGGUUCUAUCUCGUAUUGGGGUCCGUUUUCCUUCCUACAUCCAUAGACUUCCAGUGGUUGAGAUUCUAGCUCCAAUUCUGAAGGUCCAUGGAGGGUAUAGAACCUGAUAUAAAAAGCCAUCCACCAGAAUAUGAUGUGCAAAAUGAAGGUCAAACAUCUGGAGCAGCAACUGACACCGGACAGCAGAGUCAAAGCCCCAGGGCUUCUUCAAUUGCAGAUUGUGACAUGGUCUUUGAUACUGAGAAUGAGCGCGCAAGCCCAAAUAUUGGUCCUGUUGACCAAACUCAUAUGGGAAAAAUGAUGAUUGUCUGAAUUCAAGCAUUUCUUGUGAUAACAAUUUUCAGAUUGAUGCUGCAAAUGGAAAUCUGUCUCAGGAAUUCAACAUUUCUUCUGUUGAUGUGUCAAGUAACAGUAAUGUCAUAACAGCUGAGGAGGAGCUGUGCAUGAUACCAAAAAUUGGCAUGGAGUUUGAUUCAGAAGACCAUGCUUACAAGUAUUAUAGCAGGUAUGCUGUUUUUGAAAGGUUUCAGCAUAAGAAAAGAUUUUGUCAACAAAAGUAGGGUGAAUGGUGCGGUGGUAUCUAGAAGAUACACUUGCUAUAGACAGGGUUAUGGGCCUAAUAAACAUAGUGCCAAUGUAAGGAAAUCCCAUCUGGAAACAAGGACUGGAUGCCUGGCGCAUAUGACUAUUGCUCGUCAGCCUAAUGGCAAGUUUCAUGUCACUCAUUUUGAAGCAGGGCACAAUCAUGAGUUUGCAACACCCUGUACGGCUUAUAUGUUACCAUCACAGAGAAGAUUGAGUUUUGCUCA
This is a long non-coding RNA of Prosopis cineraria, 1025 nucleotides long. RefSeq lists it as uncharacterized. The record is from RefSeq and is a predicted model, not a curated record. NCBI's taxonomy places the organism in Eukaryota, Viridiplantae, Streptophyta, Magnoliopsida, Fabales, Fabaceae. The transcript has 3 exons.